UACGAAGGGGGCUAGCGUUGCUCGGAAUGACUGGGCGUAAAGGGCGCGUAGGCAGCUUGCACCGUCAGAUGUGAAAUUCCUGGGCUUAACCUGGGGGCUGCAUUUGAUACGUGUGGGCUUGAGUGCGGAAGAGGGUCGUGGAAUUCCCAGUGUAGAGGUGAAAUUCGUAGAUAUUGGGAAGAACACCGGUGGCGAAGGCGGCGACCUGGUCCGUGACUGACGCUGAGGCGCGAAAGCGUGGGGAGCGAACAGG
This 253-nucleotide ribosomal RNA is filed under the name uncultured bacterium. RNAcentral's name for it is "partial 16S ribosomal RNA". It matches the Rfam family "Bacterial small subunit ribosomal RNA", at positions 524 to 776 of the family's 1533-position model. The record is from RNAcentral.